This 274-nucleotide ribosomal RNA is filed under the name uncultured bacterium. Its description in RNAcentral is "partial 16S ribosomal RNA". It matches the Rfam family "Bacterial small subunit ribosomal RNA", at positions 523 to 796 of the family's 1533-position model. The record is from RNAcentral.
AUACGGAGGGUGCAAGCGUUAUCCGGAAUCAUUGGGUUUAAAGGGUCCGUAGGCGGAUUGGUAAGUCAGUGGUGAAAGUCUGCAGCUUAACUGUAGAAUUGCCAUUGAUACUGCUAGUCUUGAAUUACUGUGAAGUGAUUAGAAUGUGUAGUGUAGCGGUGAAAUGCAUAGAUAUUACACAGAAUACCAAUUGCGAAGGCAGAUCACUAACAGUAUAUUGACGCUGAGGGACGAAAGCGUGGGGAGCGAACAGGAUUAGAUACCCUAGUAGUCC